This is a non-coding RNA of Oryzias latipes (Japanese medaka), 8278 nucleotides long. The record is from RefSeq and is a predicted model, not a curated record. Lineage: Eukaryota; Metazoa; Chordata; Actinopteri; Beloniformes; Adrianichthyidae.
AAAUGAGCAGGUUCCCGUUCAUCACGGGGGUUUUCAUUCAUCACCUGUGUGUUCAGUGGGUUUCUGUGCCAUUAAAAAGGGUAAUGAGGUCAUAGAACGUCGUUGACCGCUACGGAGGUAUAAACAGGUUUUAAGAAGGAGGUCACGAAGUCCUCCAGGCUUCUUGGAAGGCCCGGCGCCCUUUGGACCUGCGGCUGAUAAAGGAGCGGCCUGCCGGGCGGAGGAAUGAUGAAGCGGCGGGGUUUGAAUGAGGGUCGACGGUAGACCUCAACACUUCUGCGUGCUCCAUCUGAACGAUACAAACAUGUCACGAAAGUCUUGGAUUGAAGAGACCCUCUUCAAGAGGGAGUGUGUGAGGUUCAUCCCUUCUUCAUGGGACCAACACAGAUGUGUUCCAGUAUGUCAAAUAUGCCAAAACUUGAUCAGGUGUUGUUGUGGUCGUCUCGUGGGGGAACAUUCCUGGCAGGAGUCUGUUCCUCCAUUAUCUUUCUAUGCUGCUUCUGGACAAGAGAUGGAAGAGGACUGGUCCAUCGAGGUCCAUACUAGAGCUAGUCCCACCAAUGCUUAUGGGACCAUAGAUUUUGAAGACACAGCCACACGAGUGUGUCGAGCCAAGUACGUUCGUGUGGCUGUGGACUCCAAGCCAGAAGCUUUACUGCAGCUGAUGCUGAGGGAAUGGCAGAUGGAGAGACCCAAACUGCUGCUGACGGUCCAGGGAGGCACAGAAAACUUUGUCUUGCCCCCAAAAGUUAUGCAAGCCUUUAGCAAGGGGCUGAUUACUGCUGCCCUUAGCACAGGGGGAUGGAUACUCACCGAUGGGAUUAAUACGGGUGUGUCUAAGUAUGUAGGGGAGGCAGUAAAAGUGUUCGGAGGCCACGACCUGAGAAAGAGAAACACAGUUGGGAUCACGCCAUGGGGAGUGAUUGACAACAACAUGGACCUCAUAGGCAGAGAUGUGUUCAAGCCCUACCAGCCGCUGGGAAAUCCCUUGAGCAAGAGAGUCUGUCUCAACGGUUUUCAUUCCCAUUUUCUGUUGGUGGAUGAUGGAACACUUGGAAAAUAUGGCUGCCAGCAGGGCCUUCGGAGGAAGCUGGAAAAACACAUCCAGCAGCAGAAAAUACAUCCUCGAUUGAACCAAAGAGUCCCUAUGGUGUGUGUUGUGGUGGAGGGAGGUCCCUCCAUUGUUUUCACUGUGCUGGAUUAUGUGAGCAGUGCACCCCCUGUGCCGGUGUUUGUGUUUGAAGGAUCUGGAAGAGCUGCAGACCUGCUCUCUUUUUUACACAAGCAGACUGCUAACGACAGGCAGUUGGAUGCUGACAUUAUAGAGGACUUCCUCACCAGAAUUGGAGAUGAAUUUGGAGUGGAGAGAACUGAGGCGAUUCGUCUUUACUCCGUCCUCCAGCAGUGUAUGGAACACAGAGAGUCUAUUACAAUUUUUGACUCUGAGUCAGACGAUCAGAUGGCACCAGAUGCAGCAAUUUUAAGUACUACACUCAAAGGUACUAAAGCCAGUCCAGCAGAGCAGCUAAAUAUGGCUUUAGCUUGGGACCAAGCAGACAUUGCACAGAAAGACAUCCUGGUGUAUGGACAGCACUGGCCGGUUGGUUCCUUAGAAAAAGCCAUGCUUGAUGCUCUGGUGUUGGACCGUGUGAGUUUCGUCAAAAUGUUGAUAGACAACGGCAUGACCAUGAGCCACUUCCUCACUGUGGAGCGUCUGGAGGAGCUUUACAACACUCCACUGGGCCAGACUCAGCGCUUCCUGCAGCACCUUGUUGAAGAUGCAAAACAGACUUCUCUUCCAGCCGGUUACCGUCUUUCUCUUAUUGACGUUGGCCUGGUGAUCGAAUACCUGAUAGGAGGAGCGUAUCGCAGCACCUACACACGAAAACACUUCAGAGCUGCGUACAGCCGCAUGCAGGACAAUGACAGAAGAUGGGACAGUUCUGGCUCUUUUUCUAAACAAAGGCUGGGACUGAAAUCAAACUCCCGGAGGAAUGGAAGUCGUCAGGACUUGCAAUUCUUUAGAACUGCUCAGCCCUACAAGCGCAAGGAUCAAGAUGCGACCCCUGGGAGCACUCGAGACACGAGGUUGAGCUCAAGCCUUGGUGACGCUUCACUGCAAGUCCUUUUCAACUUCAACGACCUCUUUGUCUGGGCGGUCCUUCAGCAGCGGCAGCAGAUGGCACUAUUCCUGUGGCAACACGGUGAAGAGGCGCUGGCACGAGCCAUCGUGGGCUGCAAGCUUUACCGCUCCAUGGCCUUUGAAGCACGGCUGAGCAGCAUGUAUGACAACAUUGCUGAAAAAUUCAAGGCAGACUCACUUGAGUUUGGUAAGCUGGCCGUGGAUGUGUUGGAUUGUGCGUUUCGACAGAACGGACAAAUGGCAAUGAAACUGUUGACCUCAGAGAUGGAAGCAUGGAGCCACUUCACGUGUCUGCAGUUGGCAGUGUCCUCGUGUCACAGACCGUUUGUCUCACACUCAUGCACUCAGACCCUCCUCACUGAUCUCUGGACGGGCCCCCUUAACAUGAGAAAGAACUCUUUUAUGAAGAUAAUCUUGAGCCUUCUUCUGCCCCCUGCCAUCUUGCUGCUGGAGUUUAAAAGCGAAGCGGAAAUGUGUCAUGUACCACAGACCCAUGAGGCAAUGCUGUUUGGGCUUGACUCUGUCAAGUCAACUCCAGUUCCUCAGGCUACUGCUGACCUGAGUCAUCAUGAUGCAGAGCGGGGCCUCCCUUUUUAUGAGAAAUGUCUUGGUCCUCUGUCAAGAUCUGUUUCCACUAUAACGGUGCAGUGGCUCCCCUGGAUCACAAGAAUCUAUGAUUUCUACACAGCUCCUGUUGUCAAGUUUUGGUUUCACACAAUGUCGUACUUGUGUUUUUUGAUGUUAUUCUCCUUUGUCGUCUUGGUGAAAAUGGAAAAUCGACCCAGUAUUCAAGAGUGGUUGGUCAUUUUCUACAUUGUGUCUACUGCAGUGGAGAAAACCAGAGAAGUUUUGAUGUCUGAGCCGAGAAAGUUGAGGCAGAAGCUGAAGAUUUGGUUCUCAGAGUACUGGAACAUAUCUGAUUUUGUCGCCAUCCUUCUUUUCCUGGUGGGGUUUGCAUUGCGCUGGCACCCUGAUCCGUACAGAACAGCAGGGCGCAUCGCUUACUGCCUGGACAUCAUUUUCUGGUUCAUCAGGGUGUUGGAUCUGCUGGCUGUCAAUCAGCACGCUGGCCCUUACCUCACUAUAAUCACUAAGAUGACCAGUAAUAUGUUCUUCAUCGUGGUGAUGAUGGCUAUAGUGCUGCUGAGCUUUGGAGUCUCCAGAAAGGCCAUCCUGUCACCAGACGAGGAGCCAUCGUGGAGCCUGGCUCGAGACAUAGUCUUCCAGCCUUACUGGAUGAUCUUUGGAGAGGUCUACGCAGGCGAGAUCGAUCCAUGUGCUGGUGGUAAUUCAUGCCCCCCUGCGUCCUUUCUUACAUCAUUUCUCCAGGCCGUCUAUAUGUUUGUCCAGUAUAUCAUCAUGGUCAAUGUUCUCAUAGCCUUUUUUAACAACAUCUACUUUGAUAUGGCUUCAACAUCGAACAAGCUAUGGAAGUAUAACCGCUACCGCUAUAUAAUGACCUAUCAGGAGAGGCCAUGGCUGCCCCCGCCUCUAAUCCUCCUCAGUCACAUGGCUCUUGCUCUGCGAUGCAUCUACUGGAAGUUAUUGGGAGACACUGAGCCGGGAGAGAGAGGCUCAGGGCUUAAACUUCAUUUAGGCCACGAGGAUCGAAAGAAGCUUCAUGAAUUUGAGAAAAAAUGUGUUGAGGUGUACUUCCACGAGAAAGACAGAGAUGUCCAAAGUAAUCAAAUCAAGAAGAUCAGAGCCAUAGCUGAAAGAGCAGAAGAAAUGAGUGUGAUGGUGGGAGAGAUCUCCGAGAAGGUCAACUGUAUUCAGCACAGCCUGUCAGAGUUAGACUGUCAGAUGGGUCAACUGCAGGACCUUUCUGCUCUGGCCGUAGACACGCUCACUCUUCUCACUGCCUCUGACAGCCUCCAAAAGGAAGAGGCACGCUUGGCUCAGUGUCGCAUCAACCCGACUUUGCAGCACGUCCUCCCUCACAGCUGGACUCUCCCGCACAGGAGCAACACCGACUGCGAUGUCCCAAGUUUUCGCCGAUUGAAUACCAAAUCAUGCAAGAGUACACCCCCAUCUUUGUUAAAAGGCUCUGUCGCAGCAGCAAGUAGAGUCGCAUCGGUGGAGCGUCACAUGGGAUCCAAGGGAAGCAAGGAAGCAAAGCACAAAGACACUGAGAGGAAAGAAGAAACAACAACAGAGGAUUCUCAUUCUGGAACUGCUGACUAUCCCAUUGAAAAGUUGUUGGGAGUCCCAAAACCUUCAUCGCAUGCCUCUGUUACUCUUUUCAACAAUGGAAAAAUUAUUCAUGAAGGUGAGAAGCAUCAGACUCCAUCUGAGUCCUGUGGAUCAUCCCGCUGCGAGAGUCCUCUUUCUCCAAGGGCUGUGGGUCCACCAUCUCAAAGGUCCUGGGCAUGUGACCCAUAUUUGUAUCCAAGUGUGGCGGAUACUUCCAUGGAAGAGCAGGAAGAGUGUGACAGCGAAGAGCAAGAUGACACACCGGAACACUUGACUGACUCAGAAGGCGAUAGAUUGCCAUCCUUUGUGUCAAAACGCUCCAGCCAGUGGCGAAGACCUUCGAUAGCUCCUCGGUGGCUCUAUAUGCCCAAAGAGCGGUUCUAUAGCUUUAGUAGGUCUCUGUCAUCCAGCAUGGAGAAUAUAACUUUCUCUGGAGCACCUCUUAGCCCAACAAGAGGGUCAUUUUUUACUCUUAAUGAAGCAGUAAGCAAGGAGAGGAUAAGAGGCAGGAGGGGCUUUAGGGAUGAUACGUGCCUGCCAUGCAGCAGGAGCCAAGAGUGGUCAAAAUCCUCUGACUCCAUCCAGGUCUCUGGCAGCAGAGAAAAGGGCCAAAGCAGAAAGACGGUAAAGAUAAAAGAGAGCUCUUUUGAUCCGGAAGGUGUUCAACCUCAUCUGCCUGAUGCAUCAUGGAGAAGGCGUUCUAAGUUUAUAGGAGAACCCACCUGUUGGUCAGCUUCAACCAGCCUCAGUCAGCUCAACUUUGAUUCACCAGACUUGAUGAAACAAAUGAUUUCACAUCAGGAGGUUUGGAGUCCCACGCAUUCCGCCUGGAACAGCAGGGCUAAAUCCAUGAGUCGAAGAUCCUCUUUACAGAGUGGCAUUCCACUUGAAGUCAAAAGUCCAUCUUUCCAGUCCAGUGAAAAUUUGUACCCACACUAUUCAGCCACAGAGAGAAACAAUCUGAUGAGACUGGCUCAAACCAUCCCCUUCACACCCGUUUCCAUUUUUGGAGGUGAAGAGGUGAGCAUCUACACCCUGGAGGAAGCCCCCUGUGACGCAGACGCUGACUCUCCUUCAGCCUCCGUUUGGUCUUCCAAAGGCCUAUCUGCUAUACUACAGCCCCUCUCCAGUGAGGAAGGCUCUCUGGAUGGGGGUCUCCGGCAGGGCUGCAGGAUGCUUUGUACCUGGGCAGAACAAGAUAUACUCAAACCUGGAUUAAUAUAUGUGGCGAAAGCCUUUAAGUCCGAAGUGGUGCAUGUUUGGCAGAAGCACUUCCCUGGUAGCACUGCACUACAGCUUUGUUUAAGGGAGAUCCAGCAGCAAAGAGCUGCACAGAAGAUGAUGCAAGUUUUCAACCAGAUCAAACCUCAUGACAUGCAUCCUACACCACGAUUUUUAGAUGUAUCACUGGUCCUCUGGCAUUCCAAUGGACAAUGGCUGACCAUUGAGAGAAACAUGACUGGUGACUUCAGGAAAUACAAUAACAACACCGGGGAAGAGAUCACCCCUUGCUCUUCACUGGAGGACAUGCUGCUUGCUUUCUCCCACUGGACCUAUGAGCACUCAUGCAAAGAGCUCCUGGUGCUGGAUAUUCAAGGAGUUGGAGAGGAACUGACUGAUCCAACGGUCAUCAUGGCAGACGAUCAAAGUGGUGGCAAAGGGGAUUUGCUUUUUGGCCCCGAUAACCUUGGAGUUGCUGCCAUCAAUGGCUUCCUGCAGAAACACACUUGUAAUCUCUGCUGCCAUAGACUUGGCUUAAAAGGUCAGCCAUGUUUAUUCAUGAAAAAGGACACAGGAAAGAAGUAACAAGAAUUAACAUUAAAUAUUUGCUUUCUUUUUUUGUUGGCUGACCUGCAGAUUAUAGGAGUUUUUUUCCUCAACGCACACAGAUUUUUGUGUGCACGUGUGCAUAUGUUUUUGUAUGUCACCUCCAUGUCGUCACUCAGGAGGCCAACUUGGCAAAGAGAGAAAUCCCCAAUAACUUCAGAUGAAGAGAGCACACACCAGCCGCCAGCUAAUUAAGCUACGCGCCUUCGUAUAUUUCUAAAACAACAGUCAUGUUUGAGGCAGGGGGGUGGGCCUUGCUUUGUGCGUUUGUGCUGCACGGCCUUUGAUUACGUAUUAAUCAUGUCUUUGUGCUGGCAAUGUGCUGCUGAGACAUUAGCUUUGAUUAGCUAUUAAUUAAUGUCCCUGGGUAGACAUGAUACCAUCUAGAGGAUAACUGUGCUGAGAGAAACUGUGCUCAAAAACAAACAAGCUCAGCAAACAAACACAAACAGUCAAACGUAGUUGUUUUGAUUAUUUUCAAAGGUGCGUUGGUUCCUUUUCCUUUUCUUGUGUCCUCUCCAAGAUUUCUCUAACAAAUCAAACCAAAUUAUUCAUGCUGGAGACACGGACUUCCUCCCAGUCCUAUUUGAGGACUCGUCCAACCAGCAGCGAGAUCAGCAGUGAAGCAGGCAGAAUAUCAAGGAAAGAGGAAUAAGCCAACAAUAAAACAAGGAUGUACCAGGAGAAGUAGGGAGAAAAAUCAAUUUUAAUGCAGGCUUUUUUUUUUUGGUCUUUGGAUUAAACUUUGUGAUUCAAAAACAAAAAAAUUACAUUUCAGGUAUUACAUUUAUUUUGUUUUAAUACAGACUAAGAAUGAAAGCCCUUUUCAAAACAUUCAAACUGGUACGUCGUCUUUGAAUUCACAACUUACUUAUUAUAUUGUAAGUCCAUCCAGCGCAGUAACUUCUGUGCUACAAUAAAACAGGAAUAUUCAACAGUCAGAACACUAGGAUCAGAUGUUUAUUCAUAAUGAAUAUAAAACAAAAUUGCCUUAAAUAAUAAAAGUCCUGUUUAGUGUUGUUGAUCCUUUACACUUUAGCUACAGUUGAUUAGCUAAAGUCUGGCGCACUUGCUUUAAUCUUUCUCACAUAUUCAGUUUCAGGUUGAAUGGCUAACCAUGAAUGGUUAACUUUUGAUCCGUAACGCCUAAUGAAAAAAAAAACAAAAUUACAUUUAGCACUCCUUACCACAAACCAGAGUUAAAGCUGGGAAUGAGUUCUACAAGUUAAAAACACUUGUACACUUUUUCCUUCUACCACCAGAUUUAUUGCCUUAGAAUGGGGAUAUCAGGAAAAUAGUUUUUUUUCUUUUUUCUUGAUGGUAUUGAUAUAUAGUUCUGUCUGUAUUGGUUAUUUUACCUUGUAAAGAAGUGAAAAAAAGAUCAAACAUAUUUUAUUAAGUUAUUUAUCCUUAUUUCUUAGCUUUUAUGUCAUAACAAAAAGGUACCGGUAGUUGUACUUUUUAGAACUUUUCAAAAUCAGAAGAUUCAGUCUGAGUAUUUAUAAUCAAAUAUAGAUUAAGUUUACAGUCUAAUUAGGGCUUAUGGAAAUGAUUGUUCAUCUUUUAUUAACAGUCCCAAAAAAAAGAAAGUAAACAUGAAGUGCACUCAUAAAAUUUCUUUUAUUUUUUUCUUCCCACAACAAAAUGUCUACAAAAGCAAUAAAAUAUAGAAUUUAACAAAAAUGACUUCAGACCUUCACAUCAUAUAUACAUCUAACAGGAGGACUUACUAAGGCCCCUGCAAAGCUCUGAACUUCAACCAAGUCUUAUCAAUCAGUAUUAGGUGUUUCUGACUCUACUUGCAUACAAACACUCCUGAGCAGCAAUAAAAAGCUACAGCAGAGGUUGUGGCUUUAAAUCCAAGUUGGAGUUCAGAAUACUGCAGAGUCCCCAGAAAAUCAGAAAACCACAAAAUGAAAAAAAAUAAAUGCAUUGUAAUCCAAACACAUGUUCAUUGGAGUUCUCCUUUUAUGAUUGGUUUUCUCUUGUAAACUCACAGUAAAGCAUCUGUGCCCACUUAUCCAAUCCUUUCCCUCCUCACUAGCUAUGGCACUUAAAAAAACAAAGACAAUGUUUUUUUCUUCUUUUUUGAAUAAAUGUUUUUUUGUCUUAUCA